Lacerta agilis (Sand lizard) is the source of this 3136-nucleotide RNA transcript. It is a transcript of the gene named SH2B adaptor protein 2, with no coding region annotated. The transcript is spliced from 10 exons. The record is from RefSeq and is a predicted model, not a curated record. Lineage: Eukaryota; Metazoa; Chordata; Lepidosauria; Squamata; Lacertidae.
GGCCCUUUAAACCCUUCUCCGCCGAGCGAGUGGGAGGAGACCGGGGCCGGCUCGGAGGCACCGGCGGGGGCGCCUCUUCCUCGCAGCGGGAGCUGCUGCGCUCCGGUAGCGGCUCGCCUGCCCGCCCCAGCGCUUCCCUUCCGUCCUUGCACCCUGGUGCCGACGCCGCCGGGCGAGGACCGAGCCCGGGCGGACCCGACGCUCCUUCCAUGCCUCUCCAAGCCCGUUUGCCAGCAGGUGGAAUGGACCAGUCAUGAAUGGUGAUGCCUUUUGUCAAGAUCCUCCCUCCCAGCUUCCCGACUGGAGGGAAUUCUGUGAGCUGCACGCCCAGGCCGCUGCAGUGGACUUUGCUCAAAAGUUCUGCCAGUUCCUGAAGGAGAAUCCGCACUACAACACCCCUGGGGCAGAGACCUCCUUCUCCCACCACUUUGCCGCCAACUUCUUGGACAUCUUCAGCUUGGAAGUCAACAGGGUGUUCGUUUCCAAUUCCCCCACCAAAUACAACAUCGUGCCAUUUGUUGGGCUUCAAAACUGCCACAUGCCUUACGGGCGGGACCUCCUGCCAAGGAAGGAGCAGGCCUCCACGGAGUCCCUCGACAGCAUGGACAACCCCAUCUCCUCCGGCAGGUAUCUGAGCCAAUCGCAGCAGGUCCAGGCCCGGAAGGUCUCUUCCUACGGCCAGUCCCGGAGUUCAGAGGAUGUCUCCGUCCACGCCACCUCCAAGCCAAAGUUCAAGAAAGGCUUUUCCCUGAGGAAUAUGAGCUUGUGCGUGGUGGAUGGCAUGAAGGAGAUGUGGCACAGGAGGUCUUCCCCGGAGCCUGGUGCAGAAGCCACGCAAAGCAGGCGGUCUGACAGGGAACACUGCCCUCCUGGGAACAAGGAACAUGGCGAUUCCAGGGAGAAAUGGACCCACAAGCUGCGCCUUUCGAAGGGGCAGUCUUCCAAGGUGGAUCUGGUGGACAUUCAGAGGGAAGGGACCCUCCGCUACAUGGUCGCUGACGAUACGAACUGUGUGGGGAGCUCUCAGUGGCAAAAGUGUCGGUUGUUGCUAAGGAAAGCUGUGAAGAUGGAGGGAGAAAAGUUCCUUCUCGAGUUUUUCGUUCCUCCCAAGGCUUCCAAAGCUAAGGUCAGCAUCCCUCUGUCAGCCAUUAUUGAGGUGCGCACAACUAUGCCUUUGGAGAUGCCAGACAAGGACAACACCUUUGUGCUGAAGGUAGAAAACGGUGCUGAGUAUAUCUUGGAAACGAUUGAUUCGUUGCAGAAACACUCCUGGGUGGCAGAUAUACAAGACUGCAUAGAUCCUGGAGACAGUGGGGACGACAUCGAACUCUCCUCCUGCACCCAGGGGGCCUGCCUGCCAAGCAGAGUGUCCUCUUGUAGCUGCGAGUUCCUGGCUGGUGAUACCUCCCGGUUUCAGGACAGAUGUGCAGGCUCUGCUGCCCCAGACACUAUGCCGAAUCCUGCCACUGUUGUCACAGCACCGCAUGGUCGGAUCAGGGACUCUGCAGGAGAAUACAGAGCUCAUGUGCCAUUGGAUAACUUCCUACAGACAUUGGAGUCAUCAGCUACUGGUAGCCAUACUGCAGCUGGGACAGGGGAGGAAAGCGAGACGGAAGCGGAGCUCAACCUUCUGGACUUCCCUUGGUUCCAUGGGACACUAUCACGGGUCAAAGCUGCUCAGCUGGUCCUGUUUGGUGGAGCCAGAAGCCAUGGGCUGUUUGUCAUUCGACAGAGUGAAACCCGGCCAGGCGAAUACGUGCUGACCUUUAACUUCCAGGGAAAAGCCAAGCACCUGCGCCUGUCCUUGAAUGAAAACGGCCAGUGCCACGUCCAACAUCUCUGGUUCCAGACUAUCUUUGAUAUGCUGAGGCAUUUUCACAUGCAUCCCAUACCCCUGGAGUCAGGCGGUUCCGCUGAUAUAACACUCCACAGCUACGUGGUGGCCCAGAGUCCCUUGCCGGAGGUCAGCCCGUCCCCCGCUGUGGCCUCUCAACAGCCCACUUGCAGAAACGACCUGCAGUCGCAACACUACUUCUCCAGCUUUGUCCCUGUCACCUUCCAGCCGGCCUCCCCUUCUGAGGGCACCACUUCUUCCUCCUCCUCCUCGGCCAGCCACUCGCUGUACCAUCGGAUGGAGGGGACCCUGAGCACCCGAAGCCGGAGCAACAGCACCGAGCGCCUAUUCGAUUCUGCCGCCAUUGGGGCAGAGGAUUACCACGAAAGCGAGGGCUCACGCAACAGAACCAGAGCUGUGGAGAACCAAUAUUCAUUCUACUGAUCCUCCUGGUGGGGAAUGGUUGGUUUUCAGUGUGGCCUGGUGUCUCUCUUUUCACCAGGACCCAAGGGUUUUAGAGGGAAAGCUAACAAAGGAACUGUUUAUUGGAUUGCUGCUGUCUUGUGUGGUGUGGGUUCUGUGGUCCUCUUCAUCUUCACUGUAAAUAGUUGAGCUCAUGAUACUCUUCAUCUCCUGCUCCUGAAGAACUCCACGUUUGGUGCUGGAGUACAGUUGUGUGCAAAGGAUGUAUGGUGCUGCCUGACACUGAUGCAAACUAGAGGCAGAGGCUGCCCAAGGACAGGUACCAGUUGCUUUCUUUUGGUGUGGACUAGAUGGACCCAGAAAUCUGACUUCAUAAGGGCCUCCACUCUGAGCAAUCAAUGUGGAGGAAUGGCCACACAGUGUUCACCUACUUUUAUGGUGUAUCUGCAUGAUGACAUGCUCCUCCCAUGUGUUUUUUCCUUGUUCAGCUUCCAUUUUUGUGUGUGCAGAUAAUCCAACUCUUAAAAGAAAACCCACAGAAAACCUCACAAUGUAACAGUUAUCUAGUUUCCCCAGGAGCAGCUGGCCUAUUGUGUUGCUAUUUAGUAGCUUCCUUGGCUAGAUAUGGCCAGUAUUGAUUGCUGCAGACUUUUAUUUCUCUAUAUAGUCCAUCUCUCUUCUCUAGGAAUCAACUCUGUUAUUUUUACCUCUUCCCUUUCCAAACAGUGUUCAUUUACUUCUGUUUCUUUUCUCUCCCUCUCACAGCAGUACUGUGGUUACAAAACAUGCCCAAGUGAUAAUUGUGUACGAAAGCAGUAAUUCCAGAUGUGAGAUAUUCAUUCCUUUGACUAAAAAAAAAAAAGUUCCUGUUGGAAGGAA